This 618-nucleotide ribosomal RNA is filed under the name uncultured bacterium. Its description in RNAcentral is "bacterial SSU rRNA". It matches the Rfam family "Bacterial small subunit ribosomal RNA", at positions 28 to 614 of the family's 1533-position model. The record is from RNAcentral.
GACGAACGCUGGCGGCGUGCCUAACACAUGCAAGUCGAACGGAGAUAGUUAAUGAAGCUUGCGAUUUAGCUAUCUUAGUGGCGAACGGGUGAGUAACGCGUGGGUAACCUGCCCUUAAGACCGGGACAACAGCUGGAAACGGCUGCUAAUACCGGAUGUAUUGUCCGAGAGGCAUCUCUUGGAGAAGAAAGCUGGCCUCUGAAAAUGCUAGCGCUUAGGGAUGGACCCGCGUCUGGUUAGCUAGUUGGUGGGGUAAAAGCCUACCAAGGCGACGAUCAGUAGCCGGCCUGAGAGGGUAAACGGCCACACUGGGACUGAGACACGGCCCAGACUCCUACGGGAGGCAGCAGUGGGGAAUCUUCCGCAAUGGACGAAAGUCUGACGGAGCAACGCCGCGUGUAUGAAGAAGGCCUUCGGGUUGUAAAAUACUGUUGUUAGGGAAGAACGGCAUCUGUGUAAAUAAUGCAGGUGAUUGACGGUACCUAACGAGGAAGCCCCGGCUAACUACGUGCCAGCAGCCGCGGUAAUACGUAGGGGGCAAGCGUUGUCCGGAAUCAUUGGGCGUAAAGGGCGCGUAGGCGGCUAUAUAAGUCUGAUGUGAAAGUGCGGAGCUUAACU